CCUACGGGCGGCAGCAGUGGGGAAUAUUGGACAAUGGGCGAAAGCCUGAUCCAGCCAUGCCGCGUGUGUGAAGAAGGCCUUCGGGUUGUAAAGCACUUUCAGUGGGGAAGAAAGCCUUGGGGCUAAUACCCUCGAGGAAGGACAUCACCCACAGAAGAAGCACCGGCUAACUCCGUGCCAGCAGCCGCGGUAAUACGGAGGGUGCGAGCGUGUAAUCGGAAUUACUGGGCGUAAAGCGCGCGUAGGCGGUCUGAUAAGCCGGUUGUGAAAGCCCCGGGCUCAACCUGGGAACGGCAUCCGGAACUGUCAGGCUAGAGUGCAGGAGAGGAAGGUAGAAUUCCCGGUGUAGCGGUGAAAUGCGUAGAGAUCGGGAGGAAUACCAGUGGCGAAGGCGGCCUUCUGGACUGACACUGACGCUGAGAUGCGAAAGCGUGGGUAGCAAACAGGAUUAGAUACCCGGGUAGUC
This 466-nucleotide ribosomal RNA is filed under the name Vreelandella stevensii. Its description in RNAcentral is "partial 16S ribosomal RNA". It matches the Rfam family "Bacterial small subunit ribosomal RNA", at positions 338 to 795 of the family's 1533-position model. Lineage: Bacteria; Pseudomonadati; Pseudomonadota; Gammaproteobacteria; Oceanospirillales; Halomonadaceae. The record is from RNAcentral.